Long non-coding RNA from Oncorhynchus masou masou (cherry salmon), 3900 nucleotides. RefSeq lists it as uncharacterized. Lineage: Eukaryota; Metazoa; Chordata; Actinopteri; Salmoniformes; Salmonidae. The record is from RefSeq and is a predicted model, not a curated record. The transcript is spliced from 4 exons.
CUGUCUCGAUUGCGUCCUGUCAGCCUGAUUGUAGCCAUACUUGCUUCGAAGUCCCUCGUUAUAUCUCAGUAUAUUAAUAUUAUCAUAUUUCUAUAGCGUUUUUUAAAAUUAUAAUUCUUGUUGAAAAUUAUGUUUAUCCGUUCAGUUAGUGAUUUUUGUAAUUCGAUUAUUGUGUGCUGUGUCUUUUUUUGUUUCUUCACUAGCUAGCUAUUAACGUUUUAACUAGUAAGGUGGCUAGCAAUUAGCCAACGCCUCCCUCCCCUACCAAUCAUGGCACUGUUUUACUCAGGACGCAAGAGCUGCCAUAGAUCACAUUGACGGAUGUACAUCUUCUGGCCAAGACAAGUAGCAAAGCACCGAACUCCAAGUUAAAAACAAGGAUUCAAACUUUGUGUCCAGUUACCUUUUCAACUAUGAAGCUUCGAACAGGGCCAACGUGACAGGAGAGGUCAGCAUAAGGGUUUGCUGCUUCAGGUCCAGGAGGAAAAAUGAGAAACCACACAGUUUGAGUGUAGGGUGAAAAGUCAGGUGUUCGUGACACUAUAUGCAGGUUACACAGUCGGAGAUGAAGCCUAGUCUUAGACUAAGAAGUUCCUGUCAAUGGAGAUCUGCAUUUAAGAGGCAUUGCUUAGUCUAGGACUAGGUUUAACCCAUGUCGAUGAAACCGUUCUUAGUGUAGUAAUUGUUAAUUUCUCUUCCUUGCUGUUUAUGUAAGCUCUGUUAUGUUGGACACAUUAGAUUACGUUUAAACAAGGACAUAUACCCCUAAUAGAAAAGUUUAAACCUGUAUUGCUAUAAUUAAUUUAGUGGCUGUUUCAUGUUGCGCCAGUCAUUUCUGUUUGCUAGUUGUGACACAUGUUGAGUGAUUUUAAGUCUAAUCAUUUUCCUUUUAUAUCCCAACGUGGGUUGUUCUGAAUCCCUGUGAGCCAGUAACAAUGACACAACAUCACCACACAGUUGCAUUACUAUUCCAGUCUGCACACUAAGAUGAACACCAGUUGUCCCUCCUGUGCACAGCUGCACAGAGGAAGAGCAGCAGUGUCAUAAGGACUAUGGGUCUGCAACCUGGCCCAUAGGCAAAAUUACCAUCACCAAGCCCACCAAAAAGCGCAUGGCAGAAAGAGGGAUUAGGUGGUUUCAAGUACAUUGUUUAGAUUGGCUAACCACAGCGGCUGCUUUGCGGAAGUACACUCUACAGCACCCAUCUUGGACCACUCCCCGACCUCUCAGUUCUCCAGAUAGAAGAGACAUACAAUAACUUUGACCCUCUAUCCAAGCCAUUGAUCUGCAGCAUGGAGAUGUGUGCUGAAAAGCUUUUAGUUGACUCCCACUUUGGAAAGGUACAGGUGGGGAGCCUCCUGUCUUACCAGCAGCCUCCAAUCACAACGUGACCAUAGUUCACUAUAAGGAGACACCACCAUUCCCUUUACUGCCCCUGGGUGGCUACAGACUGGAGAGCAACUUUUUUUUUUUUUUUUAUUUCACCUUUAUUUAACCAGGUAGGCUAGUUGAGAACAAGUUCUCAUUUGCAACUGCGACCUGGCCAAGAUAAAGCAUAGCAGUGUGAACAAACAACACAGAGUUACACAUGGAGUAAAGCUUUCAAGGCUGUACUUGUGCUCAAUGAAGACCAGCUUCACAUAGUCUCUUCAGGUGAGAGAAUACAUAGAGACCCAGUGGUGUUCUCACUAAUUAGAGAGAAGGGUGACUGGCACUACUUAUGUGUACAUGCAAAAGUUCUUAGGCAGGAAAGACUAAAUAACAAGGGACAGGCUCCUUUAUCUUUCAAUUCAUGAAAGAGAAACAAACCAACAUCUGUCUGUGCAAUUCAUUAAUAAUUUAAAAUAAUUCCGUAAAAUGUUUCUGUUCUCAUCACUGUAAAUAAAAACCUUAUAACGUUUUGUUUGGAGUAUAAGCAGAGGUAUUUAUUAUCAAUAAAGGGACUACAGGGUGUUAGACAAUGUGGAUGGUCACAGCUAAAAAAGGAUAGAUGCAUUGCGGUAGUAGCUCAUUGCCCCUUGGUCCAUGCCUUCACAAGAGGCCUUCACUGGUAGUUUUGUGAGAAGGCAAGCCACAGCCCAGAUGCAGUUGAUGCUUCCCAUCAGUGACAUGAGGAUCUCUUGGACAUGGUAAUAUUCCACUGGAAUAGCAAAGGUACUGCUCCCUUUUUUAGACGUUGAAGCCCACUUGAAGGUUCAAUGAAAUCUUCUUAAAUUCCUAACUUCCAAUAAAGAUGCCACACCAACUAAUAAUGUUUAACGUCCUUAGAACUAAUGUUAGCUAGGUAGGUACUGGUAGCGAACGUUUGCUAGCUAAACAGUCAAAAGACAACCCAAUUGAAUUUAAAAAAUGUAUAGAAAUAUGAUUAUAUUAAUAUACUGAGGUAAUGAUAAAAUGAGCGACUUCGAGGCUAGUAUGGCUGACAAGUAGAGAGCCGACUCUAUUUACAAAAAAUGAAGAUAUGAAUAAUCAAAAUAUUUUAAAUGAACUAAUUCAAAGAACAAAAAAUAAUAAUAUAGGCCUAAAUACUCAAGCGCACACAUUCGUUCUGACUGUCUGCUCAGACUAACAGCCUCACCUGUUGUUCCUAUCAAUCAGACAUGCAGUGUCAACCAAUGAACCAACGAUGGGUGAGGGAGGGCCGAGCCAACUUACACAGUCACACACUUAGCAGCCGAGGAGAGAGGAAGGACAGCUGUGAAAACAGCUGGAAAAUGAGUCGGAAGCACAGUAGCAUUUAGAUGCAUUUUAAUAAUGUAGACAAUGUUAGAGCACAGUGUAGAAUUUGCCAAAACAAUCUCAUGUAAAGCCGGUUCUACGCACAACCUACACCGCCAUAUGCGAACUGUGAAGCUAGCGGGUCUGCUAGUGAUAGUGCUGGAGCCAGCACCUCCACAAGUGGAGAUGUAUCCACGCAGUCUUCUAUGGACCAGUUUAUGCCAAAGUCUAUGUAGCAGAACAAGGCCAAAUUGAUAUUGCAUUGGAUAAAUUUGCACCGAUUUCCAGCCAUUUUCGAUUGUGGAGGACGGAGGUUCUAGAAAUGAUCGCAAUAGUCUAAAUCCAAUGUACACAAUUCCAAGCAGGAAAACCCUUUUAAAAUCACUUAUUCCACAACUGUACGAGAGCACACAGGCUUCAGUGCGGGAAAGCCCAAAAAGCUACUGCAGUUUGCCUUACCACUGACUGCUGGACAUCAAGGGUAACCACUUCUUACAGGUCGGUUACAUGUCACUUCAUUGAAGAUUUUUCAAUGUCUAGCUGUCUUCUGGACUGUUUUGAGUUCAGCGACAGACACACCUCAGAGAACUUGGCAGAGGAACUGUUGAGAGUGGCCAGAAAAUGGCAAGUAGAUGGAAAAGUGGUCUGUUCUGUUAGUGACAAUGCAGCUAACAUAACCAAAGCCAUGAACAUUUUAAAAUAGAUCCAUGUCUUGCCCACACACAACCUGAUUGUAAGAGAUGCUCUGAAGGUGAUGAAGCCCACCGGACAAAGUGAAAGGAGCUGUGGCAUACUUCCACAGGAGCACAGUAGGUGAUGAAAAACUAAAGUCUACACAACGCCAGAUGGGGAUGCCUGAGCUGAGGCCUAAACAAGACUGCACUACAAGGUGGAAUUCAACAUUUUAUAUGUUGAAGUGGUUUCUUGAGUCAAAGGAUGCCAUCAUCUCUACCCUGGCCACUGUCAAUGCACCUGUUGAUGCUCUGACCCUAGAGGAAUGGGAGGUGGUGGAGGAGAUGUGCAGAGUCCUGGAACCCUUUGAGCAGGUCACUGUGGAGAUCAGUGGAGAGGGCAGUUAUUACUACAUCAUUAUUCAAUCCACUAUUAUAUAUGUAUAUUAGCAGUAGAUGAGAAUGUAGUAUCAGUAGACAAAACAUGAACCUGAACUAAUAAGUUACUGUU